UGAUGAUGACCCGUCACACCACGAAAAAAUAUGUCGAGUAAAGAAUUGCGUGAACACAACUGCAGAAUGGUAUAAGGAAUCCUCUCAUGAACAAGUUACAACAGAUUUUAAAAAAAAUGGAAUUUAUCAGAAAAUAGAUGGAAGUUCCUCCACGCUACACUUUGACAACGCAACAAUUUUGGACAUAGGGAAAUACUAUUGUCGUGCUCAUAAUUCAAGCAAGGAAUUUUUUGACUUCAAAGUUGAUGGAAAUCCAACGAUUACAUCAAUCACAAAUUCAUCAUGUAGCCGAAGUUUGUUCGUUACCUGGAAUCCAAGCAGAUAUGCAGUUGGCUUUCGACACAAAAUUACAGCAAAUAAUUAUAUUACCAAAGAAGAAAGCUUUUCGACAUUCAUUAUUCCUAAAUCAAACACAUCAGUGAUCCGUGAGAUUUCAG
Molecule: non-coding RNA, 437 nt
Organism: Styela clava
Lineage: Eukaryota; Metazoa; Chordata; Ascidiacea; Stolidobranchia; Styelidae
Source: RefSeq, a predicted model, not a curated record